AUUGAACGCUGGCGGCAUGCUUUACACAUGCAAGUCGAACGGCAGCGCGGGGGCAACCCUGGCGGCGAGUGGCGAACGGGUGAGUAAUGUAUCGGAACGUAUCCUGUAAUGGGGGACAACCAGUCGAAAGAUUGGGUAAUACCGCAUACGCACGAGAGUGGAAAGUAGGGGAUCGCAAGACCUUACGUUAUAGGAGCGGCCGAUAUCUGAUUAGCUAGUUGGUGGGGUAAAGGCCUACCAAGGCGACGAUCAGUAGCUGGUCUGAGAGGACGACCAGCCACACUGGGACUGAGACACGGCCCAGACUCCUACGGGAGGCAGCAGUGGGGAAUUUUGGACAAUGGGCGAAAGCCUGAUCCAGCCAUGCCGCGUGCAGGAAGAAGGCCUUCGGGUUGUAAACUGCUUUAGUCUAGGAAAAAGGGGUGCGAGGUUAAUACCCUCGUGCUUUGAUGGUACUGGAAGAAUAAGCACCGGCUAACUACGUG
Molecule: ribosomal RNA, 485 nt
Filed under: uncultured bacterium
Lineage: Bacteria
Description: bacterial SSU rRNA
Rfam family: Bacterial small subunit ribosomal RNA
Source: RNAcentral